AACGCACCUUGCGCUCUUUGGUAUUCCGAAGAGCAUGCCUGUUUGAGUGUCAUGAAAAUAUCAACCUUGACUUGGGUUUUGUGCUCUUGUCUUGGCUUGGAUUUGGCUGUUUGCCUCUCGAAAGAGUCGGCUCAGCUUAAAAGUAUUAGCUGGAUCUGUCUUUGAGACUUGGUUUGACUUGGCGUAAUAAGUUAUUUCGCUGAGGACAAUCUUCGGAUUGGCCGAGUUUCUAGGACGCUUGUCCGCUUUCCAAUACAAGUUCUAGCUUGCUAGACAUGACUUUUUUAUUUAUCUGGCCUCAAAUCAGGUAGGACUACCCGCUGAACUUAA
Molecule: ribosomal RNA, 330 nt
Filed under: uncultured fungus
Lineage: Eukaryota; Fungi
Description: eukaryotic LSU rRNA
Rfam family: 5.8S ribosomal RNA (bases 1-52)
Source: RNAcentral